GAACGCAGUUUGGUGUCAAUUGUCGCAUUCGUAAUCAAAUUGAACAUGAUUUGUUUGAGGGAUUGCGGUUAUCAGUGUUUCGAACAUCAGAAUAGUCAAAAGCUCUACCGAAGUACAAUUAUCUAACUAGAUUAGGUCAUAAAUCAUAAUUCGAAGUAAUUUGUAGAAGCUGAAAGUGGAGAAUUCGUGAGAAGCGCAAUACACACUCUAAAGCGCAAAUAGUUUCAGCUUGUGGAAGAUGAAAUAUCUACAUCAGCCUCUCCCCGCUUGUUCUUAUACAAUUCCUAAAAAAAAGCUCAAUUAAUACCUCCAGCAGUAUCUCUUCACAGAAGGUACUCACAGUCGGUGCAGACUGAAUGCAGACUCGACAGGCCGUCUUCUGGUGUACUUCUCAGCAUAUCCGUGAUGUUUGAAAGAGAUUAUCCGGUCUCUUGUCGAGAAACUGUUUUGAGUGUUCACUUGGAUAGAAAGUGUUCGAGCAUGUCACGUCGAAGUCCAUUUGGUCGAGCGCGUCACAGCCAUAGUUAGCCGCUUGCGUGAUUGACAGGGCUCCCUUACCAUUUGUGAUACGCAACGCACUUGAUAGCGUGGAUAUGAAGACAAUAACCUGAAGUUCUUUCACAUGUACAACGAAAUUUUGAUUGCAUUAUGAAAUCAAUAAUUCUUCCACCUAAGCUAUCAAGAAUUUCGUCAAGCACGGCUGUCAGCUGUUCAAGUGUCCUACAGAUAUGUAUGCAC
RNAcentral lists this long non-coding RNA (738 nucleotides) under Physcomitrium patens. RNAcentral's name for it is "long non-coding RNA (PPAT_LNC009177)". The record is from RNAcentral. Lineage: Eukaryota; Viridiplantae; Streptophyta; Bryopsida; Funariales; Funariaceae.